GGAUGGGCCCGCGGCCUAUCAGCUUGUUGGUGAGGUAACGGCUCACCAAGGCGACGACGGGUAGCCGGCCUGAGAGGGCGACCGGCCACACUGGGACUGAGACACGGCCCAGACUCCUACGGGAGGCAGCAGUGGGGAAUAUUGCACAAUGGGCGAAAGCCUGAUGCAGCGACGCCGCGUGAGGGAUGACGGCCUUCGGGUUGUAAACCUCUUUCAGCAGGGAAGAAGCGCAAGUGACGGUACCUGCAGAAGAAGCGCCGGCUAACUACGUGCCAGCAGCCGCGGUAAUACGUAGGGCGCGAGCGUUGUCCGGAAUUAUUGGGCGUAAAGAGCUCGUAGGCGGCUUGUCGCGUCGGUUGUGAAAGCCCGGGGCUUAACCCCGGGUCUGCAGUCGAUACGGGCAGGCUAGAGUUCGGUAGGGGAGAUCGGAAUUCCUGGUGUAGCGGUGAAAUGCGCAGAUAUCAGGAGGAACACCGGUGGCGAAGGCGGAUCUCUGGGCCGAUACUGACGCUGAGGAGCGAAAGCGUGGGGAGCGAACAGGAUUAGAUACCCUGGUAGUCCACGCCGUAAACGGUGGGCACUAGGUGUGGGCGACAUUCCACGUCGUCCGUGCCGCAGCUAACGCACUAAGUGCCCCGC
This 639-nucleotide ribosomal RNA is filed under the name uncultured Streptomyces sp. RNAcentral describes it as "bacterial SSU rRNA". It matches the Rfam family "Bacterial small subunit ribosomal RNA", at positions 223 to 872 of the family's 1533-position model. The record is from RNAcentral. Lineage: Bacteria; Bacillati; Actinomycetota; Actinomycetes; Kitasatosporales; Streptomycetaceae.